GACGAACGCUGGCGGCGUGCCUAAUACAUGCAAGUUGAGCGCUGAAGGUUGGUACUUGUACCAACUGGAUGAGCAGCGAACGGGUGAGUAACGCGUGGGGAAUCUGCCUUUGAGCGGGGGACAACAUUUGGAAACGAAUGCUAAUACCGCAUAAAAACUUUAAACACAAGUUUUAAGUUUGAAAGAUGCAAUUGCAUCACUCAAAGAUGAUCCCGCGUUGUAUUAGCUAGUUGGUGAGGUAAAGGCUCACCAAGGCGAUGAUACAUAGCCGACCUGAGAGGGUGAUCGGCGCCACUGUGACGGUGACACGGCUCAUAUUCCUACGGGAUGCAGCAGUACGGAAACUUCGGGCAACGACGAAGGGCUGGACGACGAAGGCGGUCUGAGUGAUGAACCAUUUCGGAGUGGAAAUGUUAGUUGGUAUGGAAGAAAGUUGGUGAGAGUGGAAAGCUCAUAAAGUGACGGUAACGACGCAGAGAGGAACGGCUAACUACGUG
This 497-nucleotide ribosomal RNA is filed under the name uncultured bacterium. Its description in RNAcentral is "partial 16S ribosomal RNA". It matches the Rfam family "Bacterial small subunit ribosomal RNA", at positions 28 to 507 of the family's 1533-position model. The record is from RNAcentral.